Fukomys damarensis (Damara mole-rat) is the source of this 508-nucleotide long non-coding RNA. RefSeq lists it as uncharacterized. The record is from RefSeq and is a predicted model, not a curated record. Lineage: Eukaryota; Metazoa; Chordata; Mammalia; Rodentia; Bathyergidae. The transcript has 3 exons.
UAAAGAUUUAGUCUGUCUUCCAUGUUUAAGAAUUUUUCCUUGAGGCUAGAGCUUUGCAGUAAGAAUAUGGAAACAUCGGUCCGCGUGAGGUUGAGCUUCUGUCCCCUGUCUCGGUCCGUUGGUCCCGGUGCAGCAGUCUCUAUCCUGCGAGCGUGCUUGAAACCUGUGCUCUACCUUCCCAGUUCCUUCUCGUAGACUCUUAAACCGCCCGAUGCAAACGUUGCUCUUGCUGCGCUAAGUGGACUUUUUCUUGUUAGAUCGUCCCCUGCUGCUCAGUAUUUUCGCUUCCCAGUGACGCCCUGGCCUGUCCUCAGAAAACUCUUUGAAGGAUUGUCCAUGACAACUGCCUGAUAUUUCAACUACAAAAUCUCACUCCUCCAAAAUGACACCAUCAUCUGCUUCAAGAACAUUGCUCUUGGAGAAUGUCCUCAAGUGUUCAGCGUUGUGUGCCUGUGAAGUAUUUAUCCACCCAGAAGCUAGGCAGCUGCCUGCCUGCCUGCCUGUCUGC